UACGUAGGGUGCAAGCGUUGUCCGGAUUUAUUGGGCGUAAAGAGCUCGUAGGCGGUCUGUCGCGUCGGAUGUGAAAACCCAGGGCUCAACCCUGGGCCUGCAUUCGAUACGGGCAGACUAGAGUAUGGCAGGGGAGACUGGAAUUCCUGGUGUAGCGGUGAAAUGCGUAGAUAUCAGGAGGAACACCGGUGGCGAAGGCGGCUACCUGGCCUAAGACUGACGCUGAGGUGCGAAAGCGUGGGGAGCGAACGGG
This 253-nucleotide ribosomal RNA is filed under the name uncultured bacterium. Its description in RNAcentral is "partial 16S ribosomal RNA". It matches the Rfam family "Bacterial small subunit ribosomal RNA", at positions 524 to 776 of the family's 1533-position model. The record is from RNAcentral.